CCAAACAGAUCUGACCCGGUAGCCGCAUAUCAGCUGGCCGCCGCUGAAGCAAGAAGAGGACAACAAACCUAUGGAAAGCGUUAUCGCAAAUCUUUUCUGAAAGGGAAUAAAUUAGAAAAUCGCGGUUACAAAGAGAGGAAGUAGUCUUCAACAGCUAGCGAGAGCGCUAAAUGUACCAGAAGUAACGGACCUGGUUCUCAACAAGGUGGAGUUUUGUGAGCGAGGGCUACCCAUCGAUUGCGCUUUACGCUAUUCGGUUACCAGAUGCAGGAACCUGAUCGACAGGUUGCGCGAAGAUAAGAGCUGCCUUUUCUGGAAGUAUUAAACCCUUACACCAGAACAAACAAGCAAAGAAGAACAGUAAUUGUAUUUCCUAUAUGGAAUUAAAUGAAAGAGUUUUAAAGAAAUAUCCGAUUUUUUUUUUUACACACAAUUCGCAUUUAGAUAUGUCUUCUUUAACGAUGUGUGAAUGACUGCUGUAUAUGGAACGAACACAUCCUGUCAUUUGAAGUGAAGUUUGUGCGUAACAGGUCGCUGAGAACACAACAUUUACAUAGAAGAAGGACUGAUGAAAACGAACCGGGCACAGUAGAGGAAGAAGAAGGUAGUUAGUUUAAGCAAUAUGGCUGAAUUGUGGGGUAGGGGACACUGUCUGGAACUACUCAAAGAGUCUGGAUGCUGGUUAUAGAACAUGGCAACAUAUCCCUGGGCAUCGGUAGCCUCAGAAUAAUGCCUAAAGGUAAACAUAGUUACUAUCCGGACUCUCCCUCUAUCCGCAUAUCCAAGAUGGAUGUGAUCAUCCCGUUCUCCCCAGAUGUGCCCUGUGAUAGCAACGGGCAGCGCAUGUGGUGGGCUUUCCUUGCCUCCUCCAUGGUUACGUUCUUUGGGGGUCUCUUCAUCAUUCUGCUCUGGAGAUCUCUCAACUACCUGUGGACCGUCUGCUGCCACUGUAAUACCAAAAAAAAGAAUGUUCAUCGGGUCCAUCACCCUAUCUCCCAUGGGGAUGGCGUCAAGCAUACCAAGGAGACGGUGGCUGCACUCAGCGAGGUGGGCUGGAUGACCUCCGUCAAAGAUUGGGCCGGGGUCAUGAUAUCAGCCCAGACACUGACGGGCAGAGUCCUGGUGGUGCUUGUCUUUGCCCUCAGCAUCGGAGCCCUUGUAAUAUACUUCAUCGAUUCCUCUGACCCCAUCGAGUCCUGUCAGAACUUCUACAAAGACUUCACGCUACAGAUCGACAUGGCUUUCAACGUCUUCUUCCUCUUGUACUUUGGUCUACGGUUCAUAGCGGCCAAUGACAAGCUGUGGUUCUGGCUGGAGGUGAACUCGGUGGUGGACUUCUUCACUGUUCCCCCGGUGUUCGUGUCCGUCUAUCUCAACAGGAGCUGGCUUGGCUUACGGUUUUUAAGGGCCUUAAGAUUGAUACAGUUCUCAGAAAUCUUACAGUUUUUGAAUAUAUUAAAAACAAGCAAUUCCAUAAAACUGGUGAACUUGUGUUCAAUCUUCAUAAGCACAUGGCUAACAGCUGCAGGCUUCAUACAUUUGGUGGAAAACUCAGGGGAUCCUUGGGAAAACUUCCAAAAUUCCCAGUCACUUUCCUACUGGGAAUGUGUCUACUUACUGAUGGUUACCAUGUCCACUGUGGGCUAUGGAGACGUGUAUGCCAAAACUACCCUGGGACGACUUUUCAUGGUGUUCUUCAUCCUCGGUGGUUUGGCCAUGUUUGCGAGCUACGUCCCUGAAAUCAUAGAGUUAAUAGGAAACCGCAAGAAAUAUGGUGGUUCCUAUAGUGCUGUUAAUGGGAGAAAGCACAUCGUGGUCUGUGGUCAUAUUACCCUUGAAAGUGUGUCCAACUUCCUUAAAGACUUCCUACACAAGGACAGGGAUGAUGUCAAUGUAGAAAUUGUUUUUCUCCAUAAUAUUUCCCCUAAUCUUGAGCUGGAAGCCUUGUUCAAGCGGCACUUCACCCAGGUGGAGUUCUACCAGGGAUCUGUUCUCAACCCACACGACCUGGCCAGAGUCAAGAUAGAGUCAGCAGAUGCCUGUUUGAUCCUAGCUAAUAAAUACUGUGCAGACCCUGAUGCUGAGGAUGCUUCCAACAUCAUGAGGGUGAUAUCCAUCAAGAACUACCACCCGAAGAUCAGAAUCAUUACCCAGAUGUUGCAGUACCACAACAAGGCCCACCUUUUGAACAUUCCCAGUUGGAACUGGAAGGAGGGUGACGAUGCCAUUUGCCUUGCUGAGCUGAAGCUUGGCUUCAUCGCACAGAGUUGUCUGGCUCAGGGCCUCUCCACCAUGCUGGCCAACCUCUUCUCCAUGAGGUCCUUUAUCAAGAUUGAAGAGGACACGUGGCAGAAGUAUUAUCUGGAAGGAGUAGCCAAUGAAAUGUAUACUGAGUACCUGUCUAGUGCCUUUGUGGGCUUAUCCUUCCCCACCAUUUGUGAACUCUGCUAUGUGAAGCUAAAGCUGCUACUGAUCGCUAUCGAGUACAAGUCUGAUAUACGGGAAAGCAGCACUCUCAUCAACCCCGGGAACCAUGUGAAGAUGCAGGAAGGAACCUUGGGGUUCUUUAUCGCCAGCGAUGCCAAAGAAGUUAAGAGGGCACUUUUCUACUGCAAAGCUUGCCACGAUGACAUCACAGAUCCUAAAAGGAUAAAGAAAUGUGGAUGCAAACGAUUGAUCUAUUCCAAGGUGUCCGUCUACAAGAGAAUGAUGCUGGCAUGUUGUUUUGAUUGCGGCCGUUCAGAGCGUGACUGCUCUCGCAUGUCGGCCAAUGUGCAUCACCAUAGUAACGCGAAGGACACCCUUCAGCGGCGUGGCUUCCCUCUCUCUCCUGUCUCUCUUAAUGAUUGCUCGACCACUUUACGUGCCUUGGAAGAAGAGCAGCAGUCAGCUGUUUCGCCUAAAAAGAAACAAGGCAAUGGAAACACGAGGAACUCACCCAACGGUUCACCAAAAAUGAUGAGGAGUAAGGGAUCCACAGGGAUGUUCCACUGGUGCCAGUCCAAAGACAUCGAGAAGGUCAUCUUGACCCGGAGCGAAGCUGCCAUGACUGUUCUAAGCGGCCACGUGGUCGUCUGUAUAUUUGGAGACGCAAAGUCGGCUUUGGUGGGCCUUAGGAACCUUGUGAUGCCUCUGAGAGCUAGCAACUUCCACUACCACGAGCUGAAACCCAUCGUGUUUGUGGGUUCUCUGAGUACCUGAAGAGGGAAUGGGAGACCCUUCACAACUUCCCCAAAGUCUCCAUCUACCUGUGAGGCACACCAUUGAGCCGGGCCGAUCUGAGGGCCGUCAAUAUCAACCUCUGUGACAUGUGUGUCAUCCUGUCGGCCAAUCAGAGCAAUAUCGACGACGCUUCACUGCAGGACAAGGAAUGUAUCCUGGCGUCACUCAACAUCAAGUCUAUGCAGUUUGACGACAGCAUCGGGGUGUUGCAGGCUACCUCCCAAGGUUUUACCCUGCCAGGCAUGGACAGGUCCUCUCCUGAAAACAGUCCAGUUCAUGGGGGGUUGGUCCGACAGGCUUCCAUCACAACAGGAGCCAAUGUCCCCAUCAUCACUGAACUAGUGAAUGACUCCAAUGUUCAGUUCCUGGACCAGGAUGACGACGACGACCCUGACACAGAGUUGUACCUCACUCAGCCCUUCGCCUGUGGGACGGCUUUCGCAGUGAGCGUGCUGGAUUCCCUGAUGAGUGCUACAUACUUCAAUGAUAAUAUCCUCACCCUGAUCCGGACGCUGGUAACAGGGGGGGCCACCCCGGAGCUGGAGGGUCUGUUGGCGGAGGAGAACGCAUUACGAGGAGGCUACAGCACGCCGCAGACCCUCGCUAACCGGGACAGGUGUCGUGUUGCACAGUUAGCUUUGUACGACGGGCCUUUCGCUGACUUGGGGGAUGGUGGUUGCUACGGUGACUUGUUUUGUAAAGCGUUAAAAACAUACAACAUGCUUUGCUUCGGAAUUUACCGAUUGAGGGACGCCCAUCUAAACACACAAAGUCAUACAAGUCAAUGCACUAAACGAUAUGUAAUAACCAACCCACCGUAUGGUUUUGAGCUGGUGCCAUCAGACCUGAUCUUCUGCCUGAUGCAGUUUGACCACAACGCGGGUCAGUCCCAGGCCAGCCUCACCCAUAGCUCCCACUCCUCCCAUUCCUCCAGCAAAAAGAGCUCCUCCGUCCAUUCUAUCCCCGCCACCAACCGCACCAACCGCGCCAAGAGCAGGGACUCACGGGAUAAACAAAAAAAAGACAUGCUUCAUAGAUGAGCCUGAGAACGCAGCCUACCCCAGGAAGUCACACUCUAGUCACACAGCCAACCACCAGGUCAACCACCAGGUCAACCAGAACCCUUACAAAUCCACCAACAACCUCAUCCCGUCCAUCAGAGAGGUGGAGGACGAAUACUGAACUACAGAACCCAAUGUUGAAACCUACCGUACAACCCACCUGGAGAACACCUGGAACUAGAACCCAAGAACAGCUAGAACCCUCCUACAGAACACCUGGAACUAGAACCCCAAACCAGCUAGAACCCACCUACAGAACACCUGGAACUAGAACACAAGAACAGCUAGAACCCACUUACAGAACACCUGGAACUAGAACCCAAGAACAGCUAGAACCCAACUAGAGAACGCAUGGAACUAGAACACAAGAACAGCUAGAACCCACCUAGAGAAUGCAUGGAACUCCACCCUGAUCCAAGUGGAACUGGAAUCUGAAGAACAAUUUAAAGCUAGGAUCCUUAGUUGCUACAUCAAUUUAUGGACUUUAUAAAUGAAUGAUCAAAACGUCAAUGCUGCAUAAUAAACCUCAUGGAAAAGUGCGUAUGUACAGUAGCUACAGUAACAUCAUAUCAACAGGCUUCUUGACAUGUUUUAUACAGAUAAAUAUGUAAAUGAAGUAAUAGACAUAUAAUAUACAAUCAGAUGUCAAUCAGAUGUACAAGUCAGUCAGUCACUAAUGCUAACACUGUAGUUUACACAGCCAGUUCCAUAGUGACCAGACUCCAUCAGUUUAACCAUUUUGGAGAAUGAGGGUCGCUUCAGUCAGAGUAGCAAAGCAACGCAAUGCCAGAUAACAUAUGAUGAAACAUUAUAAUAGAGUGUUAUCAAACUGGACUGAUUAUUUGCCAAUAAAAACCAUAUAUACGUU
Molecule: RNA transcript, 5151 nt
Organism: Oncorhynchus kisutch (coho salmon)
Lineage: Eukaryota; Metazoa; Chordata; Actinopteri; Salmoniformes; Salmonidae
Gene name: calcium-activated potassium channel subunit alpha-1-like
Exons: 30
Source: RefSeq, a predicted model, not a curated record